This 264-nucleotide ribosomal RNA is filed under the name uncultured Glomeromycotina. Its description in RNAcentral is "partial large subunit ribosomal RNA". Lineage: Eukaryota; Fungi; Glomeromycota. The record is from RNAcentral.
CAGUCGUACCGACGAGAAAUCAACCUUUCGAGUGCGAACCUGCGGGCGUGCGUGAGUCUUUAACGGGCCUCGCUGUUUGCAAUGUUUGUCCUUUUGGGGUGUACUUUUUCGUAUGGUAGGCCAACGUCAGUUUCGAUCACCGUAAAAUGAUCGGGGGGAAUGUAGCUUCGAUCUCGUAUUGAAGCGUUAUAGCCUCUGGUAGAUGCGGUGACCGAAACUGAGGAUUGCAACGAAUACCCUUCUGGGCUAUCCGUCUGACCUCUG